Molecule: long non-coding RNA, 220 nt
Organism: Amblyraja radiata (thorny skate)
Lineage: Eukaryota; Metazoa; Chordata; Chondrichthyes; Rajiformes; Rajidae
Exons: 3
Source: RefSeq, a predicted model, not a curated record
UGCUGGAGUCGAUUAUUAAAGAUGUUAUAGCAGUGCAUUUGGAAAGCAGUGAUGGGAUUGGUCAAUGUCAACAUGGAUUUCAGAAGGGGAAAUCAUGCUUGACUAAUCUUUUGGCAUUUGUUGAUGAUGUAACAAGUACCAUGGAUAAGGAAGAGCCAGCUGAUGUGGUGUAACUGGUUGGCAAACAGGAAUCAAAGAGUGGAGAUGAACGGGUGUCUUU